Long non-coding RNA from Homarus americanus (American lobster), 140 nucleotides. RefSeq lists it as uncharacterized. The record is from RefSeq and is a predicted model, not a curated record. NCBI's taxonomy places the organism in Eukaryota, Metazoa, Arthropoda, Malacostraca, Decapoda, Nephropidae. The transcript is spliced from 2 exons.
AAAAUCCUCUGGAGAGUGGGUCCAGGACUUACACCUGCAAACUUCCUGUUUCUUGGGUUGAGAAAAGAUGUAUACUACUCCCACGAGGAAAGAACGACUAUCUUUGAUUAUAUCGUCAAAACGAAGAGGUUCGGAGAGGU